Molecule: small RNA, 452 nt
Filed under: Arabidopsis thaliana (thale cress)
Lineage: Eukaryota; Viridiplantae; Streptophyta; Magnoliopsida; Brassicales; Brassicaceae
Description: ATSL171000
Source: RNAcentral
AAAACUUAUUUGGAUCUCAUUGUUGUAGAAGCUCUAAGAGACAUGCAUCCCUAGAGUUAAUAAACUUAUUUUAAUGAUUUAUUUUUAACAAUCUCAAAAACCUCUCAAAUAUAUAUGGCGCAUUUGCAAAAAUAUAUUUUUUCAAAAAUACCACAGUCUAUUUUCAAAAAUAUCUUUUUCAUAUACAAAAUGACUAAAUUACCUUUAAUGAGAAAAUGAAACUAUUAUGCCAAACAAAAUUGGAGCCAAAAAGUUUUUAGUAACGGAAAACAAUUAUCCGCGAAAAGUUGAGUUUAAAAAUCCUUGUAAAUAUUUCAAACCCUUUUAAGAUCCUUGUAUAUAUUUUAAAAUUCCUCUUAUUAAAUCCUUGUAAAUCUUUUUAAAUCUUUUAAAACUCAUAUAAAGUCUUUAAAAGUACUUGUGAAUCUUUUUAAAACUCUUGUAAAGUCUUA